RNAcentral lists this ribosomal RNA (377 nucleotides) under Prostomatea sp. RNAcentral's name for it is "partial small subunit ribosomal RNA". It matches the Rfam family "Eukaryotic small subunit ribosomal RNA", at positions 582 to 975 of the family's 1831-position model. The record is from RNAcentral. Lineage: Eukaryota; Ciliophora; Prostomatea.
AUUCCAGCUCCAAUAGCGUAUAUUAAAGUUGUUGCAGUUAAAAAGCUCGUAGUUGGAUUUCUGGUUAAAAUCUUAGCUGGCUUUGGUCGUUAAUGUUUUAAUCAUCCGUUAGAGAACUAUAACCGUCCUUAACUGGUCAUUAUGGAGAUCUAACAUUUUACUUUGAAAAAAUUAGAGUGUUCAAGGCAGGCAAUCGUCAUGAAUACUAUAGCAUGGAAUAAUGGAAUAGGACUUUGGUUCAUUUUAUUGGUUAUUGAACCUUAGUAAUGAUUAACAGGGACAGUUGGGGGCAUUAGUAUUUAAUUGUCAGAGGUGAAAUUCUUGGAUUUAUGAAAGACGAACUUCUGCGAAAGCAUUUGCCAAGGAUGUUUUCAUCG